UAAGUGAAAAGUUUGAUCAUAGCUCACUUGGAAGUGAACGCUGGCGGCAGGCCUAACACAUACAAGUCGAACGGUAACAGGAAACGCUUGCUGCUUCGCUGACAGUGGCGGACGGGUGAAGUAAUGUCUGGGAAACUUUACUUACGAUGGAGGGAUAACUACUGAAACGGUGGCUAAUACCGCACUUAACGUCGCAAGGGCCAAAAGGGGGACGCUUCAGACUCUUGCCAUCGAGGUAUGUGCCCAGAUGGGAUUAGCUGUUGGUGGUAACGGCUCACCAGGCGACGAUCUAGCUGGUCUGGGGAUGACCAGCACACUGGAACUGAAGACACGGUCCGAACUUUCCCUACGGGAGGCAGCAGUGGGGAAAUAUUGCACAAUAGGCACCAAGCCUGAUGCAGCCAUGCCGCGUGUAUGAAGAAGGCCUUCCCGAGGAACGUAAAGUACUUUCAGCGGGAGGAAGGUGUUGUGGUUAAUAACCGCAGCAAUUGACGUUACCCGCGAAAGAAGCACCGACUAACUCCGUGCCAGCAGCCGCGGUAUUAUUACCGGAGGGGUGCGGCGUUAAUCGGGAGUACUGGGCGUAAGCGCACGCAGGCGGUGUCAAGUCGGAUGGCGAAAUCCCCGGGCUCAACACGGGAACUGCAUUCCGAGCUGGCGAGGAAGCGAAGGUCUUCAGCAGAGGGGUAGAAUUCCGGGUAGCGGUGAAAUGCGUGAGAUCUGGAGGAGUACCGGUGGCGAAGGCGGCCCACGGACAAGGCGACGCUCAGGUGCAGCGUGGGGAGCAAGCAGGAUUACGGAAUACCUGAUUACACGCCGUAAGCGAUGUCUACUUGGAGGUUGUGCCCUUGAGGCGUGGCUUCCGGAAAGACUGGCGCGUUAAGUGGAGCCGCACAGGGGAGUACGGCCGCAGGUUAAAACUCAAAUGAAUUGACGGGGCGCACAGCGGCGGUGGAGCAUGUGGUUUAAUUCGAUGCAACGCGAAGAACCUUACGAUGCUUACGUUUGACAUCCACGGAAGUUUUCAGAGAUGAGAAUAUUGCCUUCGGGAACCGUGAGACGGGCGCUGCAUGGCUGUCGUCAGCUCGUGUUGUGAAAUGUUGGGUUAAGUCCUGUGAAAGCGCAGCCUUAUCGCUUUGUUGCCAGCGGUCGGCCAAGAACUCAAGGAGACUGCCAGUGAUAAACUGGAGGAAGGUGAGGAUGACGUCAGGUCAUCAUGGCCCUUACGACGAGGGCUACACGUGCUACAAUGGCGCAUACAGAGAAGCGACCUCGCGAGAGCAAAAAGCGGACCUCGCAAAAGUGCGUCGUAGUCGGAUUGGAGUGCUGCAACUCGACUCCAUGAAGUCGGAAUCGCUGGUAUCGUGGAUCAGGAAAUGCCACGGUGAAUACGUUCCCGGGCGCAGCACACACCGCCCGUCACACCAUGGGAAGUGGGUUGCAAAAGAAGCCGGUAGCAACACCUUCGGGAGGCGCUUUACCACUUUGUGAUUCAUGACUGGGAGUGAAGUGUAACAAGGCCGUAGGGGAACCUGCGGUUGGAUCACCUCACUU
Molecule: ribosomal RNA, 1554 nt
Filed under: Salmonella enterica subsp. enterica
Lineage: Bacteria; Pseudomonadati; Pseudomonadota; Gammaproteobacteria; Enterobacterales; Enterobacteriaceae
Description: bacterial SSU rRNA
Rfam family: Bacterial small subunit ribosomal RNA
Source: RNAcentral